Molecule: long non-coding RNA, 1627 nt
Organism: Grus americana (Whooping crane)
Lineage: Eukaryota; Metazoa; Chordata; Aves; Gruiformes; Gruidae
Exons: 6
Source: RefSeq, a predicted model, not a curated record
GCACGCUUUGCGGCAGGGCAGCGGCAGCUGCUCCGCUGGUUUCUCCCAGGGAAGAAACCCCCAGCCCCGGGACGGGUUUCUCCGUGCCGGCCCCGGCUGUGCGGCUCUUCGGCCACAGGGGUGUGACUGAAAAGGAAGCUGGGAAGGCAGAGGCAGGUUGUACUUCCUGUGCUGAGAAGCAUCAACAGACUCAUACCCAAUAGACAGAGUGUAGAGGCUGGGAAAAUAGCUCAUUGUGAGUUUAUCUAAAAUGACCGGAAUUGUCUCUUCAGGCAGAGGGCCCAGAAGGUGUUUUGGAAAAGGGAGAAAGAAGGACCUAAAAUCUGAGAAUGUGUGGAUACAUUUGGCUAGAAAGAUGAAUAUGAGAAGAGUCUCUGAGAAAUAGGCAUGGCAGUAUGUCAGGGAAAAAGAAGAGGCAGAAGAGUCAAGAUUCGGUGUUUUAUAACCAGUUCCUCAGUGCAAGUGUGCUGCAUGACUUCAAGCAGAGUAUGAGUUACCACACCUACUUAACUGUUAAGAAUGGGAUUGCUCUUGUUCCUGUUGAUGUAUGCUCAUGAUCUGGACUCCAGGACUCAAGCAGGACUGAGAGACACAUCUUGUCAGGCAACGGGAUGCGGAUUUGCCUCUCACUGAGGUGCUGCUGGCUAGCUCACUGCCUGGUAGAGGGUGUCUCUAAGACUUGAUCUGACCUGAAGCAUACACUUUCUCAGGAGAUCUGCAACAGGGCUGAAGAAUUGCAAAUGUAUCCUUUUCCUCCUGUCAUCUGCUUGCACAUGACUGCAGUGCCUGCUCUGAGCUCACUCACCCUGAAAUGCUCCUUGUGAUGGAGGUUUGUACUGAGCUGGUACAGAGCGGACUUUGCUUUUGGUGGCAGUAUCCCUUGUUGCCGUGACAUUCACAAAGAAGAUGGGUUUAUCCUUGCCUUUAUUCCACUGGGACCAGGUGCUCUACACACAGGAGCCCAAAGUGGCAAAUCUACUACCUCUUUCAAUUUUCAGUUGAGGUCUACAUCACAUGAACGUCUUGGUUUUUUUGGAGAGGUAAAGCUUUUUUAAAAAAAACAAACCACAGCGUGUUGAACCCAAGUUGGAGAAAGAACUGCAUCAUGUGGUUGAUACAGUGCAUGGGAGUACAGAGCAUUCCCAUUCCAUCUGGUCUUGCACAUCCACUCCCUGUACCUAUUAAAUGUGAUAGCUGUUAGGCAUGAAUGUAGACCCGGAGAUGGGCAGAACUAGUUUGCCAUGCAAAUGUUUAUCUGAUGGCCCCAUCCUAUUUUCUAGAACCAAAGAUUUCACUGUGAUAAAGUGGACAUCGUAAAGCAUUGUAGGAGAUAGGGGGAUGUAACUGCACUUAAUCCGAGUUUGGAAUAGGCAUAUCUUAUAUCUUGGAGUUUGACAGUAAAUAACAAAGUAUAUUAUCAAUGGAAAUAUGACCUUAAUCUGUAACUACAAAAAAGAAAAGGACAGUCUUGAAAGUCCAGCAAUCUUUCAAAUCAUCUUAAGGCAUUUGAUCCUGAAUCAUCACAGUGAAAUUCAACAGGGGUGUUCCUAUUAGUGAUCGAAGUAUAUAGAUGUGGUUGAAUACAUGGAAAACUGUAUCUUGUUCCAGUUAUCCUUAUUAUUGUAAU